AACGAAACAAACCCUCCCGUCCGGCUCCGGUCAGGCGGGGGGGCCAGUCUCAAACCCUUUGUCGUCCGACCAUGUUGCCUCGGGGGAGACCCUGCCUUCGGGCGGGUGGCACCCCGGUGGACCAAACCAAACUCUUGCUUAAUUUUGUAGUCCGAGUCGAUUUAAAAAUAAAUCA
RNAcentral lists this unclassified non-coding RNA (175 nucleotides) under uncultured Rachicladosporium. RNAcentral describes it as "sequence contains ITS1". Lineage: Eukaryota; Fungi; Ascomycota; Dothideomycetes; Capnodiales. The record is from RNAcentral.